AUAUAUAUAUAUAUAUUCACAGAAUAGUAGAGUUGGAAGGGGCCAGAAGGCCAUCAGGUCCAAUCCCCAGCUUUUGCAGGACACUACAUUAUACCAUCACAUUCAUAUGACUGUCCAAAUGCUUUUUGAAUGUCUCCAGCGAGGGAG
Varanus komodoensis (Komodo dragon) is the source of this 147-nucleotide long non-coding RNA. RefSeq lists it as uncharacterized. The transcript has 3 exons. NCBI's taxonomy places the organism in Eukaryota, Metazoa, Chordata, Lepidosauria, Squamata, Varanidae. The record is from RefSeq and is a predicted model, not a curated record.